AGUGAACGCUGGCGGCAGGCCUAAUACAUGCAAGUCGAACGGCAGCACAGCAGAGCUUGCUCUGUGGGUGGCGAGUGGCGGACGGGUGAGGAAUACAUGGGAAUCUGCCCAGUCGUGGGGGAUAACGUAUGGAAACGUACGCUAAUACCGCAUGCGCCCUUUGGGGGAAAGCCGGGGACCUUCGGGCCUGGCGCGAUUGGAUGAGCCCAUGUUCGAUUAGCUAGUUGGCGGGGUAAAGGCCCACCAAGGCGACGAUCGAUAGCUGGUCUGAGAGGAUGAUCAGCCACACUGGGACUGAGACACGGCCCAGACUCCUACGGGAGGCAGCAGUAGGGAAUAUUGGACAAUGGGCGCAAGCCUGAUCCAGCCAUGCCGCGGGAGUGAAGAAGGCCCUCGGGUUGUAAAGCUCUUUUGUCCGGAAAGAAAAGCAUUCGGUUAAUACCCGGGUGUUCUGACGGUACCGGAAGAAUAAGCACCGGCUAACUUCGUG
Molecule: ribosomal RNA, 490 nt
Filed under: uncultured bacterium
Lineage: Bacteria
Description: partial 16S ribosomal RNA
Rfam family: Bacterial small subunit ribosomal RNA
Source: RNAcentral